GACAGAGGCCUCGAGCGUUAGGCGGAAUCCCUGGGCUUAAAGCGUGUGUAGGCGGAUCGUUAAGUACCUUGUGAAAUCCCACGGCUCAACCGUGGAACUGCUGGGUAUACUGGCGAUCUUGAGCCACCUAGGGGCGAGCGGAACAAACGGUGGAGCGGUGAAAUGCGUAGAUAUCAAGAGGAACACCAGUGGCGAAGGCGAGUCCCUGGACAACACCUGACACUGAGGCACGAAAGCCGGGGGAGCAAACAGG
Molecule: ribosomal RNA, 253 nt
Filed under: uncultured bacterium
Lineage: Bacteria
Description: partial 16S ribosomal RNA
Rfam family: Bacterial small subunit ribosomal RNA
Source: RNAcentral